UACGUAGGGUGCAAGCGUUGUCCGGAAUUAUUGGGCGUAAAGAGCUCGUAGGCGGCUUGUCGCGUCGGCUGUGAAAACCUAGGGCUCAACCCUGGGCCUGCAGCCGAUACGGGCAAGCUAGAAUUCGGUAGGGGAGACUGGAAUUCCUGGUGUAGCGGUGAAAUGCGCAGAUAUCAGGAGGAACACCGGUGGCGAAGGCGGUUCUCUGGGCCUGUUCUGACGCUGAGGAGCGAAAGCGUGGGGAGCGAACAGG
RNAcentral lists this ribosomal RNA (253 nucleotides) under uncultured bacterium. Its description in RNAcentral is "partial 16S ribosomal RNA". It matches the Rfam family "Bacterial small subunit ribosomal RNA", at positions 524 to 776 of the family's 1533-position model. The record is from RNAcentral.